UACGGGGGGGGCAAGCGUUGUUCGGAAUUACUGGGCGUAAAGGGCUCGUAGGCGGCCAACUAAGUCAGACGUGAAAUCCCUCGGCUUAACCGGGGAACUGCGUCUGAUACUGGAUGGCUAGAGGUUGGGAGAGGGAUGCGGAAUUCCAGGUGUAGCGGUGAAAUGCAUAGAUACCAUAAAGAACACCGAUUGCGAAGGCAGCUUACUAGGCUGUAACUGACGCUGAGGCACGAAAGUGUGGGGAUCAAACAGG
RNAcentral lists this ribosomal RNA (253 nucleotides) under uncultured bacterium. RNAcentral describes it as "partial 16S ribosomal RNA". It matches the Rfam family "Bacterial small subunit ribosomal RNA", at positions 524 to 776 of the family's 1533-position model. The record is from RNAcentral.